AUAUUACAUAGAAUACCGAUUGCGAAGGCAGAUCACUAACGAUACACUGACGCUGAUGGACGAAAGCGUGGGUAGCGAACAGGAUUAGAUACCCUGGUAGUCCACGCCGUAAACGAUGGAUACUGUCUGUUUGGGAAUUUUUUUUCUAAGUGGAUAAGCGAAAGUGAUAAGUAUCCCACCUGGGGAGUACGUUCGCAAGAAUGAAACUCAAAGGAAUUGACGGGGGCCCGCACAAGCGGUGGAGCAUGUGGUUUAAUUUGAUGAUACGCAAGGAACCUUACCAAGGCUUAAAUGUAUGAUGACAGGAUUAGAGAUAAUUUUUUCUUCGGACAUUAUACAAGGUGCUGCAUGGUUGUCGUCAGCUCGUGCCGUGAGGUGUCAGGUUAAGUCCUAUAACGAGCGCAACCCUUGUUGUUAGUUGCCAGCACAUUAUGGUGGGGACUCUAACAAGACUGCCGGUGCAAACCGUGAGGAAGGUGGGGACGACGUCAAAUCAUCACGGCCCUUACGUCUUGGGCUACACACGUGCUACAAUGGCAGGUACAGAGAGCAGCCACUAUGCAAAUAGGCGCGAAUCUACAAAACCUGUCCCAGUUCGGAUCGGAGUCUGCAACUCGACUCUGUGAAGUUGGAAUCGCUAGUAAUCGGAUAUCAGCCAUGAUCCGGUGAAUACGUUCCCGGGCCUUGUACACACCGCCCA
Molecule: ribosomal RNA, 700 nt
Filed under: uncultured Bacteroidota bacterium
Lineage: Bacteria; Pseudomonadati; Bacteroidota
Description: bacterial SSU rRNA
Rfam family: Bacterial small subunit ribosomal RNA
Source: RNAcentral